UAGGGAAUCUUCGGCAAUGGACGAAAGUCUGACCGAGCAACGCCGCGUGAGUGAAGAAGGUUUUCGGAUCGUAAAACUCUGUUGUUAGAGAAGAACAAGGACGUUAGUAACUGAACGUCCCCUGACGGUAUCUAACCAGAAAGCCACGGCUAACUACGUGCCAGCAGCCGCGGUAAUACGUAGGUGGAAAGCGUUGUCCGGAUUUAUUGGGCGUAAAGCGAGCGCAGGCGGUUUCUUAAGUCUGAUGUGAAAGCCCCCGGCUCAACCGGGGAGGGUAAUUGGAAACUGGGUGACUUGAGUGCAGAAGAGGAGAGUGGAAUUGCAUGUGUAGCGGUGAAAUGCGUAGAUAUAUGGAAGAACACCAGUGGCAUAGGCGGCUCUCUGGUCUGUAACUGACGCUGAGGCUAGAAAGCGUGGGGAGCAAACAGG
Molecule: ribosomal RNA, 429 nt
Filed under: Gemmatimonadota bacterium
Lineage: Bacteria; Pseudomonadati; Gemmatimonadota
Description: Gemmatimonadetes bacterium partial 16S ribosomal RNA
Rfam family: Bacterial small subunit ribosomal RNA
Source: RNAcentral